GCAGCCGCGGUAAUACGUAGGUGGCGAGCGUUAUCCGGAUUUACUGGGUGUAAAGGGCGCGUAGGCGGGGGUGCAAGUCAGAUGUGAAAUCUAUGGGCUCAACUCAUAAACUGCAUUUGAAACUGUACUUCUUGAGUACUGGAGAGGUAGACGGAAUUCCUUGUGUAGCGGUGAAAUGCGUAGAUAUAAGGAAGAACACCAGUGGCGAAGGCGGUCUACUGGACAGCAACUGACGCUGAGGCGCGAAAGCGUGGGGAGCAAACAGGAUUAGAUACCCC
Molecule: ribosomal RNA, 278 nt
Filed under: uncultured bacterium
Lineage: Bacteria
Description: partial 16S ribosomal RNA
Rfam family: Bacterial small subunit ribosomal RNA
Source: RNAcentral